Molecule: ribosomal RNA, 484 nt
Filed under: uncultured bacterium
Lineage: Bacteria
Description: partial 16S ribosomal RNA
Rfam family: Bacterial small subunit ribosomal RNA
Source: RNAcentral
AUUGAACGCUGGCGGCAGGCCUAACACAUGCAAGUCGAGCGGAUGAAGGGAGCUUGCUCCUGGAUUCAGCGGCGGACGGGUGAGUAAUGCCUAGGAAUCUGCCUGGUAGUGGGGGAUAACGUCCGGAAACGGGCGCUAAUACCGCAUACGUCCUGAGGGAGAAAGGGGGGGAUCUUCGGACCUCACGCUAUCAGAUGAGCCUAGGUCGGAUUAGCUAGUUGGUGGGGUAAAGGCCUACCAAGGCGACGAUCCGUAACUGGCCUGAGAGGAUGAUCAGUCACACUGGAACUGAGACACGGUCCAGACUCCUACGGGAGGCAGCAGUGGGGAAUAUUGGACAAUGGGCGAAAGCCUGAUCCAGCCAUGCCGCGUGUGUGAAGAAGGUCUUCGGAUUGUAAAGCACUUUAAGUUGGGAGGAAGGGCAGUAAGUUAAUACCUUGCUGUUUUGACGUUACCAACAGAAUAAGCACCGGCUAACUUCGUG